GUAAACGAUGAUUACUGGCUGUUUGCGAUAUAAUGUAAGCGGCUGAGCGAAAGCGUUAAGUAAUCCACCUGGGGAGUACGUUCGCAAGAAUGAAACUCAAAGGAAUUGACGGGGGCCCGCACAAGCGGAGGAACAUGUGGUUUAAUUCGAUGAUACGCGAGGAACCUUACCCGGGCUUGAAAUGCAUCUGGCGUCUCCAGAGAUGGGGAUUUCCUUCGGGACAGAUGUGUAGGUGCUGCAUGGUUGUCGUCAGCUCGUGCCGUGAGGUGUCGGCUUAAGUGCCAUAACGAGCGCAACCCUCAUCGUUAGUUGCCAUCAGGUCAAGCUGGGGACUCUAACGAGACUGCCAUCGUAAGAUGCGAGGAAGGUGGGGAUGACGUCAAAUCAGCACGGCCCUUACGUCCGGGGCGACACACGUGUUACAAUGGGUGGUACAAAGGGCAGCUACAUGGCGACAUGAUGCCAAUCUCCAAAACCACUCUCAGUUCGGAU
Molecule: ribosomal RNA, 492 nt
Filed under: uncultured bacterium
Lineage: Bacteria
Description: bacterial SSU rRNA
Rfam family: Bacterial small subunit ribosomal RNA
Source: RNAcentral